Molecule: ribosomal RNA, 441 nt
Filed under: uncultured bacterium
Lineage: Bacteria
Description: partial 16S ribosomal RNA
Rfam family: Bacterial small subunit ribosomal RNA
Source: RNAcentral
CCUACGGGUGGCAGCAGUGGGGAAUAUUGCACAAUGGGGGAAACCCUGAUGCAGCAACGCCGCGUGAGUGAAGAAGGUUUUCGGAUUGUAAAGCUCUGUUAGCAGGGAAGAGGAAGGACGGUACCUGCAGAGGAAGCCACGGCUAACUACGUGCCAGCAGCCGCGGUAAUACGUAGGUGGCAAGCGUUGUUCGGAAUAACUGGGCGUAAAGCGCUCGUAGGCGGUAUGUCAAGUCAAGGGUGAAAUCCCCGCGCUCAACGUGGGAACUGCCUGUGAAACUGGCAAACUGGAGUGUGUGAGAGGAUGGUGGAAUUCCAGGUGUAGGAGUGAAAUGCGUAGAUAUCUGGAGGAACAUCAGUGGCGAAGGCGACUAUCUGGCACAUAACUGACGCUGAGGAGCGAAAGCGUGGGUAGCAAACAGGAUUAGAUACCCUUGUAGUC